Molecule: ribosomal RNA, 551 nt
Filed under: Streptomyces sp. D21
Lineage: Bacteria; Bacillati; Actinomycetota; Actinomycetes; Kitasatosporales; Streptomycetaceae
Description: bacterial SSU rRNA
Rfam family: Bacterial small subunit ribosomal RNA
Source: RNAcentral
CUGGGACUGAGACACGGCCCAGACUCCUACGGGAGGCAGCAGUGGGGAAUAUUGCACAAUGGGCGAAAGCCUGAUGCAGCGACGCCGCGUGAGGGAUGACGGCCUUCGGGUUGUAAACCUCUUUCAGCAGGGAAGAAGCGAAAGUGACGGUACCUGCAGAAGAAGCGCCGGCUAACUACGUGCCAGCAGCCGCGGUAAUACGUAGGGCGCAAGCGUUGUCCGGAAUUAUUGGGCGUAAAGAGCUCGUAGGCGGCUUGUCACGUCGGUUGUGAAAGCCCGGGGCUUAACCCCGGGUCUGCAGUCGAUACGGGCAGGCUAGAGUGCGGUAGGGGAGAUCGGAAUUCCUGGUGUAGCGGUGAAAUGCGCAGAUAUCAGGAGGAACACCGGUGGCGAAGGCGGAUCUCUGGGCCGAUACUGACGCUGAGGAGCGAAAGCGUGGGGAGCGAACAGGAUUAGAUACCCUGGUAGUCCACGCCGUAAACGGUGGGCACUAGGUGUGGGCAACAUUCCACGUUGUCCGUGCCGCAGCUAACGCAUUAAGUGCCCCGCCU